Molecule: unclassified non-coding RNA, 818 nt
Filed under: Hevea brasiliensis (rubber tree)
Lineage: Eukaryota; Viridiplantae; Streptophyta; Magnoliopsida; Malpighiales; Euphorbiaceae
Source: RNAcentral
GAUUGAACAGAAGGCAAAGAAGCAACUCAUGUUUUGGAUAAACAAGCUCAUGUGGGCAGCUUGCCUCUCCAUUUCAAUUUCCUUUAUUUCACUUACUUAUGUGGUGGUUGGAGAGAAGGAAAGAGCGCUUGCCAUCUAUGCAACUGUCAUUGGUAGCACCAUAAUGCUCACUACUAUUGGCUCCAUGUGCUAUUGUGUAGUUCGACAUAGGCUAGAAGAGUCAAGGAUGAGGAGUAUAAGGAGGGCUGAGACUCAUUCACAUUCAUACUCAAUGUCUGUGGCAUCAGAUACAGAGCUUUACAGUGAAAACUACAAGAGGAUGUAUGCUGUAUAGGAAGUAAAUAAAAGCCAGAUAAAUUUCUGCCCAAGGCACCAAGUCUGGUACUUUGUAGAUAGCACUAUAAGUGAACAUAUGUUGGUUCUAAACCCUCUAGUCUGAUGAACUUCUAUCAAUGACAUCAGAUACCAAAUUGUUCGAGGAACAAAAGGAUCUACGAGUUAGGAACAGAUGAGGAGAUAGUUCAACUAGACUGCAAUAAUGUCGUGGUGAUGCAUAUCUGCACAAUUCCCCUACAUGGAUUUCCUGCAGCCACUGAAUUUCUGCACAAAUGAGGUGAUAUAUUGCUUAGAAGUUCAAGAUGAAGGCUUUAGCAAAUCCUUCUGUAUUCUUCGCAUGAAUUUUAAUAGUUUGAAUGCAAGCUCUCAUGGAGUUCACUAUCAACCUAGAGUUACUAGUACCAGAUUGAUAGUGAAUGAGAGGAAGGUGGAGAUUGCUGAUAUUGAAUUGCUUUUGCGUAUACAUAAUAAACUUUGUAGAG